This 2059-nucleotide ribosomal RNA is filed under the name Triticum aestivum (bread wheat). Its description in RNAcentral is "partial small subunit ribosomal RNA". Lineage: Eukaryota; Viridiplantae; Streptophyta; Magnoliopsida; Poales; Poaceae. The record is from RNAcentral.
CGUCGGGAGUGUUCAGUGUUUCUGGGGAGUUUUUUUUGUUUUUUCGGUCGGGAGCGUUUUCUUUUCUUUGUUCAAUUUAUUUUUCUUAAAUUUCUUUCGCUUUCUUCGAGCCAGCGAGGCAGCGGCCUCCGCGCUCUCCUUCCCCCUUUCUACUUCUGUUGAUUCCCUCCCUUUCAGUACUUAGGGUGGCUGCGGAAGGCGUUCCUCGUCGCGUCCUUCCUCGAAUUCGCCUUGUUUUUUCUUUCUUUCUUCCAUGCCCUCCAACCUUAAAACUUUUUCCUGGGUCUACGAUAUUUCCUAGUCUAACUCUUCAACCUUUUCUACUUCCGGCUACCACGAGACCUAUUCCGAUCCUUUGUAUUCUUUUCUGUCGAACUCCUAUGAAUAUUAGAACAACACUUCUUUUCCUUCCUUAUACUUCUUUUCUACUUUCUUUUCCCACUCGUUGGUCAAUACAAGUCGGUAGAACCUGGUGGUUUCUCUGCCGGACGUCGUCUGCUUCUACUGUCUCGAUUUUUGGGAUACGGACUUCUAAGACAAAUGAUAGUGGGUUGGAACUUGGGUAGACCCCGUGGUGGUGGACCGUUUGGAGGAUACAUGUUUAGUAGCUAUCCUGGUUCCUAAGGUAACGGAAGGAGUCAACCACGACCCCGAAGUAGAAGGUACUGUCUUAGACUUCUUCGUCCAGGAAGGUGGUACGGGGGAGGAGGUGGCGGGGGAGGUGACGGUCGGAGAAGUCUUGGAAGUCUAGAUAGACAGGGAAGAAAUGGAAAUGGGGGUGGUGGCGGGGGUGGGGGUGGAUUCGGACGACCGCGACAUUAUCGUGGUCCGAAUGGCGACGGUGGAGGUGGAGGAGGAGGACCACGUGGAGGGUCUCUUGGACACAAUCUAAUAUAUAAUGACGGUGGUGGAGGAGGAGGUGGUGUCGCCGGAAACGUUGUUGGUGGAGAUGGACCAUGUUUACUCGACGAAUUAUUUGUUUAACAACCUCUCCCACGUUCGAGCCGUCUAAGAUGUGUCCGAGGUCAACACGAUGGAGGUGGAGGUGGAGGGGGAUCCAACGGUGGCUUGAGCUUACUUUAUGUCCGAUGACUGCUAUGACGAUACCUAUGAGGACAACACUUUCUUCUACGAUUUUAAAGUUCCAAGAAUGGUGGUGGAGGUGGCGUAGGUAGCGUCAAUGACGGAAACGGAGGUUCCGGAGGUUACUACGGAGGUCAUGUUGGACUAUAAGAUUCAGGUCCUUACCAGUCUAAAGGAGGUGGUGGCAGUGUUGGUCUAAGUUCCGGUGGUAAAUACCGAGGACCACAACGACGGUCCGGGGGAGGUGGAGGAGGUCGUAAUUGAGGCCGAGUUUACGGUUACCGUGGGAAACCACAUGAAGGACCAGGCAGUCGUUACGAAUCCGGAGGUAAAAAAGGUCCUGGGCUUAAACGACAAAAACCGGGUUCCGGCGUCAAUGGAGUCGUCGGUAGAAUGCAGUUUAGCCGACGAAGUUGUCAACAUUUCUCUGGUAAUCGUGUUGUAUGAGGACUCGAUUGUCGAUACCAAGGACGUAGUCAAGCUCAAUUCUCUCUUAGGCGAGAGGGAUUUGGUUUUGGUUUCCGCGUCGUCGUCAGUAGUCGUGGUAGUAUAAGACGAGACUUCGGAAGUCAUUGGGGGUAUUUUAGACGUCGGGUCGGAAGUGGGAGUCAAAGAUUCGGUGUUUCGUAACUACUGAGGAUGUACCGUAAGGACCUCCUAUACUUCGUUGACCCACGGGAGCUACUCAUCGAGUCGUAGGUCAGGGAAGAGGGACUACCGACAGUCGUCGAACCAGUACUUGGACUUGGACUUGUACUAAGACAAGAAACGUAACACCGAGUACUUACCGAAAAGGACGAUACUAGAAUCUUUGGCAAAGACAAAAAGGUACUCGUUCGUAAACUCUACAAAAAGGUACAUACAAACUGAAAUUUUAAACAGGUGUAUUCUAACAUGAAGAUAGAAGGGUUACGUAAAAUUUCAUUUUUUUUUUCGAAGAGAAAGCAGUAUGCCAUUAGUUCUGGUUAUUUUAAGA